AAUAUAACGUAAUAAUUAAUUGAAGUGACGUAAACAUCGCAAGCUGGAUAACAUUAUGGGAUAUAGACUGCUGUGUGGCUUUGGCUAACAUAUGCAGGAAAACAAAACCAAGGUGCUGGACAACCAAGGAGCUUUUCGCAAUGAGAAUUCCUUAGACUUCCGUGGACAUAGAGUAUCUUCGUGCCUGCCACGAAUAAACAUGCAAAAUUUGGCGUUCGAUCUGAAUAGGUUGAAUCUGCAUAGGAAUCACAGCAAACUUGCGAUCUAUUUAAAUCGAACGCCGGAAAUGCUUAUUGGCCAGAUCUAGAGCCGGCCUUCUGGAGGUCCGCUUAAGGAAAAGCGGAUUCAAACUGAAAAUUCCUCAUUGUUGAAGUAUGCCAUUUGAUGCUAUUUUUAUGGUGGAAAAUAAUAGGGUAAAUCGCUAAUUAAGAUUUUUAAUUUAGAUUAAUGUAAUUUAAUUUUUGAUUUUAGGCGAAGGAGCACCUUUUUCUAAGCCACUGAUUUUUUCAGAUUUCUAGAACUUUAUUUUCAUACCUAAAAUCAAUUACAAAGAGAUUUUAAGAAAUCACCUUUUGACAGCUGGGCAACUACUACUUGACAGCUGUCCGCCCAUACGAAAUGCGACAAGAGGUGAUUCGACAAAUCGCUCCCAUACAAACUUCAAACUGAUUUUUAAAUAGCUUUUCGGGCACCAAAAUUUAUGAAAAUUUGGAUUCCGGCUCAGCUUGGCAUGCAGAUUCAGAAUAUGCAAUAUCUCAACAUCGCUUAAGAAGCCAAUUGGGUUGUUUAGUGAAUAAAAUAUUGCUAUUUUCUAUAGCCUAAAGUGCCCCGCACAAUGCAUACGUUUGCGUGUGUGUGACAGUAGUUUGGCACAUUUCCCAUGGGAAAACUGUCAAAAAACGCAAACCUCGACGGAACGGACGCUAUGUGUUUCAGGCUCGAAAGAGCUCAUUUUUCUAAGUAUAAUGUGAUUUUAUUGGAUUCCAAUACCUUUGUUUUGAUGGUUAAAUUAACAAAACAGUUCAGUUCAGUGGAUAGAAUGACAGUUCAUAAAAGUUCGAUAAAAUGACAGUUCGACCCGAACAAAAAAAAAAUCCCUAUACAAACUUCAUUGCAUUUUAAAAAUAGUUCCCAGACUCCAAAAAUUAUGAAAUUUUGGAUUUCGAUUAAUUUUUGGGCGGAAAAUCUGAUUAUAAAAUAAUUUGUAUACCCUUAAAGAACCCAAUUGUUGCACACUCCAUGCUAUUUUAUGAGGUGUGCAACAAUUGGCGAGUUUUUAAGGUGUGCAAUAAUAGAUUACCCGCAGGGAGUGCGUUCAAUGCUGGUCCGCAGGAGUAAAAUCAUUUUAUUUUGUAUGGCGAAAAGCAUCUAAACUCGAAUUUCUCGAAAUGAAAAGCUUUUACCGAAAAAUUUUUGGGAGGCACCCAACCGGUCAUCAUUGUGCACAACCGCUACCAAAUAUUUUUUCGAUUAAUGUGUUCCACUUCGAGAAAUACGCUUUUAGAUGCUAUUCGCCAUACAAUAUUUUUGCGAUUUACUUUUAGCGAUUUUUCGCGCAUAGAAGCUAGCGCCACAUUGGUCGAUGCGGAGAGUACACUGAGAAAAAAAUUAUAGUAAAACUAACUAUUCAUCCAUUCUUAAUUUUACCAUGCCUAAAAAUAGUAACAUUGAGCAUGUUAUCAAUGGUGACUACUAUGUUUUCCUCGUAGUUACCAUGUUUUGACAGCCAAGCGAAUAGUAGCAAAUACCAUCAAAUAUGGUUAUCUUAAUUACGCUAUUCGUGAUUGUCUGAACCAUGUUCAUAUUUGCCUACUACUAUUUUUAUGUUUAACUAUACUAUAUGCAUAAGCUCUUUUUUUUUUCAGAAAAUUCGGCAAACAUCGCCAUUUUGCGAUAAAGUGUUUGCCACGUUUCCUUGUUCAUAAAAUAUUAUUUGUUAUGGAGAAUUGAUUUUUGUUUUAUAAAAAUGGUGUAAUUCAACCAAUUUUCUUCUGCCGGAAGAAAAUCCCAAGGAAAAUCCGACACCAUUCUCACCACCUCUGUUUUUCCAAGGCGAAUAUCGAUGGGAAGUUCCGGAAGUUGGCAAGUUUCAAGGAAAGAAUGUCAAGAAAGAGCAGAGAAAGAGGGGAAAAGUAAGUUAUGAAUGUAUUCUAAAAAUUCUUUCUCAUCCAACAUAUUUUCAUCAUUCUCAGGCGAGUUUACAGGUUACAAAGCCACUUGAUACCGAUGGAGCUUCCAGAUUAAAGAGCAACCCGAGUCACCUACAAAAAUGAAUACAUUGCAGCAGAAAUCCCCCCUCCGCGGACGAAUCCAUCCGAAGAAGGACAUCGGAGCUUUUUCCUAAUUCCGUCUCCUUUAAUUCCUUCGCCGUUGUUUAAUCAGGAUACGCCUGUAACCUCCAAACCGAACCGAUGCUCUCACAACAACUUCGUCCGGAACCACACCCAGCCGCGUUCAGCAGCUUCCCGGACGUCACAUCAUAGCGGGACCCAAGGAACUUCAAUCAUGCCGCUCCGAAAAAACGAAUAUUCGCAAGAAAGGGACCAAACAGGAUGCUUGACUCCCACGAAGGACAUUCAUCUUAUAGGAAUAUACUUAUGUAUCAUUAAUUAUGUAAUUAUACUUUAUACAAUGCAAUACCCAACUAACAUUUAUUGUGAAUGUAAACGUCAACAAAGCGUCCUCAAUACGGCUUGAUGCUGAGUUACUGUGUUGUACAUAUGGACGGAAGCUUCUAUGCAAGCCCUAUACCAAUGAAUCUGGCGAACUUAAUCAGCUUGUACAUGCUGUGCGAUCAGCUUCUAUGCCACCUAGUCAUAGCGCUUUUCUCGGCUCCUAUGUAACCACUAACUGAAUAACAUCUUGAGAAGGCGCUUUUUCAGCCUUUUCGCAGUUGUUAAAUAACAGUUAUACGGCAUCCCCAAAUUAAACGAUUAAAUAUAAUUAGAUUAUGGAUACCGUGACGCAAUACUGGAACUGGAAUUAUCACUUUUAAAAUUGAAUAAUUAAAGUACUUGCCGCUACUUGGAAUCGAACUCCCGAUCUCCGUAUCCACUGGUCCCGAUGAUGUCCUCGCUGCCACACUGCUAUAUAUAAAUAACAUAGAAAAUAGCCCGUUUUGUUUUACUCCAGACAAGGCUUCAUAAUUGUGCCACAAGAAACCUUACCCAACUUCAUCUUGCUGCAAAAGCUUGUGAAACGUCAAACGCAAUGAUGUUUACAUUGAACAAGCUGUGUGGUUGCGCCAACAGAUUCUUCUUCACAGCUUCUAGCUGAAAGAGUGUUCUUUAAACGGCUACGAAGCGCUGCUGUUUUGUGUUUGGGCAACAUUACAAAACGUACUGUAUAAAAACAGCUGUUGUAGUGGCUGGGACUCUUACUCGAUUUGCACAUCUUCUGGCAAAUCUUCCGGCAUUGAAUUGAAGUGCAAUAAAAGCAUAUUUGGGUUUCACAGCACAUACGUGGAUAGCUGUAAAGAAUUUGUGUAGUAGCUAUAUAUCCCGCUUAAAGUUUGUUUUGACAAUAAUGUUUAUAUCCGACAAGCCGUGUUGGUAAACCAACAGGUUCUUUAAUACAGCUUCUAGCCGUAAUGAAAUCGCAUAACGGCCUUUAAAGCGCUGCUGGUUUGGGGAUUUGUCAGUAUAACGAAUUGUACUGUAUAGUAGCAGCUGUUUUGUUAGUGGGGACUCCUAUUCGAUGUGUUCAAGUUUUCAAAUCUUCCGGGAAAUCUCCCGGAGUUGGAAUAGAGUGGAGUAAAGGCAGCCCCAGUGACAAGCAAUGGAUUUCUGAAAACCGAGUUUGGUAGCUGUAUGGUGCUUGUUUUGCAGUCGUGUAUUAGCUUAUGAUAUAUAUUUGACUAGCUUUCCUUUUAUUCAGCGUUGACUGCUUUUACUCGAUGGUUACACAACAGAAAGCAAAUGACUGAAGCU
Long non-coding RNA from Aedes albopictus (Asian tiger mosquito), 3929 nucleotides. RefSeq lists it as uncharacterized. Lineage: Eukaryota; Metazoa; Arthropoda; Insecta; Diptera; Culicidae. The record is from RefSeq and is a predicted model, not a curated record. The transcript has 2 exons.